RNAcentral lists this transfer RNA (75 nucleotides) under candidate division SR1 bacterium. Its description in RNAcentral is "tRNA-Gly". It matches the Rfam family "tRNA". Rfam says of the family: Transfer RNA (tRNA) molecules are approximately 80 nucleotides in length. Their secondary structure includes four short double-helical elements and three loops (D, anti-codon, and T loops). The record is from RNAcentral. Lineage: Bacteria; Candidatus Absconditibacteriota.
GCGGGAUUGGUAUAGUGGUUAUUACUUCAGUUUUCCAAACUGACUAGAGGGGUCCGAUUCCCCUAUCCCGCUCCA